UGCCCUGUGGUGUAACUGGCAACAUCUCGCACUUUGACUGCGAAGAGUCCAGGUUCGAUCCCUGGCGGGGCAA
Molecule: non-coding RNA, 73 nt
Organism: Leptolyngbya valderiana
Lineage: Bacteria; Bacillati; Cyanobacteriota; Cyanophyceae; Leptolyngbyales; Leptolyngbyaceae
Source: Rfam